This 496-nucleotide ribosomal RNA is filed under the name uncultured bacterium. RNAcentral's name for it is "partial 16S ribosomal RNA". It matches the Rfam family "Bacterial small subunit ribosomal RNA", at positions 28 to 506 of the family's 1533-position model. The record is from RNAcentral.
GAUGAACGCUGGCGGCGUGCCUAAUACAUGCAAGUCGAGCGAACAGACGAGGAGCUUGCUCCUCUGACGUUAGCGGCGGACGGGUGAGUAACACGUGGAUAACCUACCUAUAAGACUGGGAUAACUUCGGGAAACCGGAGCUAAUACCGGAUAAUAUAUUGAACCGCAUGGUUCAAUAGUGAAAGACGGUUUUGCUGUCACUUAUAGAUGGAUCCGCGCCGCAUUAGCUAGUUGGUAAGGUAACGGCUUACCAAGGCAACGAUGCGUAGCCGACCUGAGAGGGUGAUCGGCCACACUGGAACUGAGACACGGUCCAGACUCCUACGGGAGGCAGCAGUAGGGAAUCUUCCGCAAUGGGCGAAAGCCUGACGGAGCAACGCCGCGUGAGUGAUGAAGGUCUUCGGAUCGUAAAACUCUGUUAUUAGGGAAGAACAAAUGUGUAAGUAACUAUGCACGUCUUGACGGUACCUAAUCAGAAAGCCACGGCUAACUGCGU